UUAACUAUUUGCUUUUUACUUCAGGCUGCUGAUUGUUCAGGGUUGGUGUUCCGGCCGGCGCGGCCCCGUGAGGGGCCGCGCCUUGUCGCCGAACGCCGUGCGCUUCGGGGGCUACGCAAAGGGUGGGGGCGGGCGCCGGAGCGCCCUUUACCCAGUAAUGAUCCUUCCGCAGGUUCACCUACGGAAA
Molecule: unclassified non-coding RNA, 187 nt
Filed under: uncultured fungus
Lineage: Eukaryota; Fungi
Description: sequence contains ITS1
Source: RNAcentral